This is a long non-coding RNA of Stegodyphus dumicola, 419 nucleotides long. The record is from RefSeq and is a predicted model, not a curated record. Lineage: Eukaryota; Metazoa; Arthropoda; Arachnida; Araneae; Eresidae.
GAAAACACAGAAUGGACUUCACUAGCAGUCAAACGGUCGUCAAGCGCGGAGCGCGAAAUGUUGUCUGCUCUAUGUUUUUGUUGUGACUGAAUUCACAUGCAUUUCGGUGGAUAUUCGCAUUCAAUGGUCAUAAAACAUGAGGAUAACAUCAAUAUAUGCUACUUUUUCAGUGAUGCAGAAAGAGCAAAAUAAUAACAGGAAAAACAGCAUGUCAUGACGACAGCAUAAAAAUGACAAACAUGACUGCUUUAUGGAGGAGGGUUGUAAUUCUCCUUGUAGUUGUAAUCGCUAUUCUACAGAUGGUUGGAAGCCCAAGGUUUAGCAGAGAUGGAACGAGCGAGAUUCAAGUGGAAACAGAAAUGAAGAUAGAUAUUGUAAGAUAACAUUUGUACGCAUUCUUAUUGGAAUGUAGAUUUCUU